AUUCUAGUAGUUUAAGUAAAAACACUGGUCUUGUAAACCAAUAAAGAAGUCUACCACCUUCCUAGAAUA
This 69-nucleotide transfer RNA is filed under the name Pseudemydura umbrina (Western swamp turtle). Its description in RNAcentral is "tRNA-Thr". It matches the Rfam family "tRNA". From Rfam's summary of the family: Transfer RNA (tRNA) molecules are approximately 80 nucleotides in length. The record is from RNAcentral. Lineage: Eukaryota; Metazoa; Chordata; Testudines; Chelidae.